AAUCAACGCUGGCGGCGCGCUUAACACAUGCAAGUCGAACGAGAAAGGGGAGCAAUCCCUGAGUAAAGUGGCGUACGGGUGAGUAACACGUGGAUGAUCUACCUCUUGGUGGGGAUACCUCUGGGAAACCGGAGACAAUACCGCAUAAGCUCGGGAGAGGAAAGCCGAAAGGCGUCGAGAGAGGAGUCCGCGGCCGAUUAGCUAGUUGGUAGGGUAAAAGCCUACCAAGGCAAAGAUCGGAGCCGGCCUGAGAGGGCACACGGCCACACUGGCACUGAAACACGGGCCAGACUCCUACGGGAGGCAGCAGUGGGGAAUCUUGCACAAUGGGGGCAACCCUGAUGCAGCGACGCCGCGUGAGCGAUGAAGCCCUUCGGGUGUAAG
Molecule: ribosomal RNA, 384 nt
Filed under: uncultured bacterium
Lineage: Bacteria
Description: bacterial SSU rRNA
Rfam family: Bacterial small subunit ribosomal RNA
Source: RNAcentral